ACAGUAAGAUGCUUGAAAAAUUCGCCCCGUUUGAUGGCCAGAGGCACAAAAAAUGCAGCGGCACCGAGCCUGAUUCUGGGACAUGCUGCUGGUGGAUAACGUAGGAUAAUGUAGGCCUUCUUCCGAAAGAUGACUUCAUUCCUACGAAAAAGGUAACAGAAUCCGGUACCAGAUCCGGAAGGUCCAAGCUGUUGGGGUCCCUUGACUGUCAAGUGAAGCGCUGAUGGCACCCACCCACCAGUACCGUUAUCAAGAUGUAAAAAGGCUACUAUCCCGAAAGAUAGUUGGUAAGUAUACUUUGUAUAAAAAUUAGCCCGUUGGGGCCCGAGAGGGCUAAGUACAUUUAUGAUUUGAAAAAAAAAAUCCACUAAAUUCCACCACCAAUUCCAACAGAUUUAGUAAUAUCCACGAUCCGGGAAAUGUUGAUUCAAUCUAGAAUCAAAGCUGAAUGGUAACCUGGCGCAAACUUCCAAUCGAGAUGGUGCGGAUUAAACCAGAUUCCAAAAAGGGUCCCAGUGUAACCACACAGAUGGAGUAACCAGCCGAAACUGGCGAUGAUUCAUAUCUGCAGAACGUGGAGUCUAAUACGUUUCCUAGUUAGAAUCUCGUGGUCAAACGGGUUCCAAACUGAAAGCGUGACAAACUCGACGGAAGCGGAAAUGAGCAGCUAUCCAAACUACUCCAGGUCAACAACAGAAAACAGAUGCUAUCAAAGAAAACCACAACAACAUCGAAUUUUGAUAGGUGAAAAUAGUGGUGCUAUUAUUAUAAAAGUCAGAAAUAUAAAAUAGUGAACCAAUAUGAAUAUUUAUUUUUCAUUUUAUAGAUGAAAACACAUAAAUUAAAAAUUAUAUUUAACUGAAAUUUUAGUAAACGAACAAAUGUUGAAAUGCUAGAAUUUUAGCAAACAAAUUUUUUUUUUUUUGCUAUAAAAUUAGUAAACAUUGAGU
Long non-coding RNA from Uranotaenia lowii, 950 nucleotides. RefSeq lists it as uncharacterized. The transcript is spliced from 3 exons. NCBI's taxonomy places the organism in Eukaryota, Metazoa, Arthropoda, Insecta, Diptera, Culicidae. The record is from RefSeq and is a predicted model, not a curated record.